RNAcentral lists this ribosomal RNA (820 nucleotides) under uncultured Sphingobacteriales bacterium. RNAcentral's name for it is "bacterial SSU rRNA". It matches the Rfam family "Bacterial small subunit ribosomal RNA", at positions 72 to 891 of the family's 1533-position model. Lineage: Bacteria; Pseudomonadati; Bacteroidota; Sphingobacteriia; Sphingobacteriales. The record is from RNAcentral.
UGGUGUAGCAAUACACUGAUGGCGACCGGCAAACGGGUGCGGAACACGUACGCAACCUUCCUUUAACUGGAGAAUAGCCCGGGGAAACCCGGAUUAAUACUCCGUAACAUUAUGAAGUGGCAUCACUUUAUAAUUAUAGCUCCGGCGGUUAAAGAUGGGCGUGCGCCUGAUUAGGUAGUUGGCGGGGUAACGGCCCACCAAGCCUACGAUCAGUAACUGGUGUGAGAGCACGACCAGUCACACGGGCACUGAGACACGGGCCCGACUCCUACGGGAGGCAGCAGUAAGGAAUAUUGGUCAAUGGACGCAAGUCUGAACCAGCCAUGCCGCGUGGAGGAUGAAGGUCCUCUGGAUUGUAAACUUCUUUUAUUUGGGAAGAAACCCCCGAUUUCUAUUGGGGUUGACGGUACCAGAUGAAUAAGCACCGGCUAACUCCGUGCCAGCAGCCGCGGUAAUACGGAGGGUGCAAGCGUUGUCCGGAUUCACUGGGUUUAAAGGGUGCGUAGGCGGGUUGGUAAGUCCGUGGUGAAAUCUCCAAGCUUAACUUGGAAACUGCCGUGGAUACUAUCAAUCUUGAAUUUAGUGGAGGUGAGCGGAAUAUGUCAUGUAGCGGUGAAAUGCUUAGAUAUGACAUAGAACACCCAUUGCGAAGGCAGCUCGCUACACUAUUAUUGACGCUGAGGCACGAAAGCGUGGGGAUCAAACAGGAUUAGAUACCCUGGUAGUCCACGCCCUAAACGAUGAUUACUCGACAUCAGCGAUACACUGUUGGUGUCUGAGCGAAAGCAUUAAGUAAUCCACCUGGGAAGUACGACCGCAA